UUCCAGUAAGCAUCACGUCUGGCAUUCCUUUCCCAGUGAUUUCCUCGUCCUUGUUUUGCUUUCUCUCCGUGUUUUCCCCCUGGUUCAUGCCCUUUUGUAUUUCCACAGUGACUCUCCUGACCUCCGUGAUCGUGCCUUGUCACUCGACACCCAUCCGGAUUUCUAACAGCCCUCCUCGAUCCACGACCUCCCUGCUCGGACCUAGACCACGCUGCCCUGCUCUUGCCCACGACCACUUGCCUGUCCACGAACUGCCUCUUCGCCUUUCCCCUUGGAUAACGACGAAACAUACAACCAACAUUUACAGACAACAACCCUUGGUAACAUUUACAUUAUUAAUUUUACACAUAGUCAACACUCACUCACUUUGAGUAGCAUACACACGCCACGUAUUCAUCAAAGGUUUCAAAUAAACCUUGUAAACCUCAGUCCUGCCCUGGUUGUCGCCUCCUUCCCUUCUCUGAUACACAACAGUACGUUCUGGCCAACAUGUCGGAAACAGGCGACAGCAGCAAGCCCCAGGCCCAGAUAGCCAUAUCUUACGACCUAGCUAUCCUUAGCUCCGUCGUUAGCGAACACCAGGUUCGGUUUACUGCCCUUGAGGAUCAUCUUGAGAGAGCUUUUACCAGACUUUAUUCCAAGCUGGACAACAUGUGCUCCGGGGCCAGUUCUGGACCGGUGGUACCUCCACGUGCUUCUCCAGUUCCUGGACCCGAAUACAGCAUUCUGGAACGAGAGCCCAGGAUUGCCAGCCCUAAACCCUUUGAAGGGGACUUUGAACUUUGUAGAGGGUUUUUGGUACAAUGUGACCUCAUUUUUCGGCACCAGCCCUCCCGUUAUUCCUCAGACGGCGCCAAGAUUGCAUUUAUUUUCUCCUUACUUUCCGGCCCGGCUCUCAAGUGGGCUACUGGUGCAGUCGACAGGACCAUUGGGCUCAACGCCGACUAUUCUGCGUUCCGUGCAGAAUUUCGGGCUGUCUUUGAUCACCCCAAGGAUGGGGGGGACGCGGCUGGACGUCUACACUCCAUUUCGCAGGGUUCACGUUCCGUGGCAGCCUAUACCCUGGAAUUCCGGACCCUGGCGGCGGACAGCGGUUGGGGGGACCGGGCGCUCCAAAGCGCAUUCCGCCGCGGCCUCUCUGAAGAGAUUAAGGACGGUCUACUGAGAGACAGACCUACUUCCUGCAAGGACCUCAUCGAACUAGCCCUCCAAUUUGACCUAAGACUUUGUGAGCGAGCAGCAGAACGAAACCAGAGAACUACCUCAAUGGCAGUCCUGGUGAGCCAUACUUUAUUUCCCCGUAAUGAGGAAAACCCCGACAUACUGCUACCCGCUAUUCUGGCCUGGGACCAGAGGAGCAUUCAAGUACAGGCAUUUGUGGACUCUGGAGCUGAUGAAAGUCUUUUGGACUACAAGUUCGCCCAGCAGAUGGGCAUUCCCCUGAUCUCUCUGGACAAGACGCUGCCAGCACAGGCCCUGGAUGGACGGCCAUUGGGCCCCAUCAAUUACCGCACUGAGCCCCUUUCCAUGACCAUUUCUGGAAAUCACAGAGAGACCAUUAGUUUAUGGGUGCUGGAAGCUCCGGUAGCCCCGCUGGUACUUGGAAGAUCUUGGCUUCGUCACCACAACCCUCAUAUCUCUUGGUCUUCCGGCAAAAUUCUGGCAUGGAGCACACCCUGCAUGGCCAACUGUCUUGGAUCAGCAUCUCAUCCGGUCUACCAUUCCACUACCACGACUCCCCAAGUAGAUCUAUCUCUGGUUCCAGCUUGCUACCAUGACUUAGCCGAGGUCUUCAGCAAGGUACGUGCCCUGGGACUACCCCCUCAUAGACCUUAUGAUUGUGCCAUCGAUUUACUCCCUAACGCUACUUUACCGUCUAGUCGCCUAUACAAUUGAUCUCUGCCAGAGAAAGAAGCUAUGAGGAACUAUAUCACCGAGGGCCUUGCCUCAGGCAUCAUUACACCAUCCAAGUCUCCACUGGCGGCGGGAUUCUUUUUCGUUGCCAAGAAGGACGGAUCCCUUCGUCCCUGCAUUGACUACCGUCACCUUAACAACAUCACAAUUAAGAAUAAGUACCCUCUUCCACUACUCAACUCAUCUUUUGAACCUUUGGCACCUGCUACCAUAUUUACCAAACUGGAUCUUCGUAACGCCUAUCACCUGGUCCGGAUCAAAGAGGGGGACGAGUGGAAGACGGCUUUCAACACUCAUAUGGGGCAUUAUGAGUAUCGGGUGAUGCCUUUUGGACUCACCAACGCACCUGCAGUUUUUCAAACUCUUGUCAAUGACAUUCUUCGGGACAUGCUGGACCAAUUCGUGGUAGUAUACCUCGAUGAUAUUCUAAUUUUCUCCCGUAACCUCUCUGAUCACCAGAAACAUGUUCGACUUGUCCUGCAACGUCUUUUGGAAAACUGUCUAUUUGUUAAGGCUGAAAAGUGCUGCUUCCACUCCUCUUCGGUGGAGUUCCUCGGAUUCGUGGUUGAAAAGGGUCACAUAAGGCCAGACCCGAAGAAGGUGGAGGCCGUGGUGAAGUGGCCGCAACCCACUAAUAGGACGGAACUUCGGAGGUUCCUCGGCUUCGCUGGCUUCUACCGCCGAUUCAUUCAAGACUUCAGUAGAGUUGCGGCACCACUCCAUUCACUCACGUCUACAAACGUUCCUUUUGUGUGGACUCUUUUGGCGAGGAAGGCCUUCGAGGAGUUAAAGGAGCGUUUUGUUUCUGCCCCCAUUCUAGUCCAUCCCAACUUAGAUACUGCUUUUUUGGUGGAGGUUGAUGCCUCAGACUCAGGGAUUGGGGCUAUUCUCUCUCAACGGUCAAAGAAUGACAAUUUGGUUCACCCUGUUGCUUUUUUCUCCAGGCGCCUGACCACGGCCGAACAGAAUUAUGAUGCUCGGAAUAGAGAAUUACUGGCGGUCCAUGAGGCCCUGGUGGAAUGGAGACACUGGUUGGAAGGAGCUAGACACCAGUUUCAGAUCCUUACCGACCACAGCAACCUCCUACACAUCCGAGCUGCCAAGAGGAUCAACAAUCGCCAGGCAAGGUGGCAGCAAUUUUUCUCUCGCUUCAAUUACGUGCUUUCUUUCAGACCUGGGUCCAAGAACACUAAGGCUGACGCACUGUCUCGGCUAUUUCUGAAAGAACCUACCGGUCCGGCAGUGGCAGAACCCAUCCUUCCUCCCACUUGCAUCAUACGGAUGGUAACUUGGAAAGUGGAGGACCUGGUUAAGUCUGCACUGCAUUCCAAUCCAGGACCGGGAGGUGGACCUCCCAACAGACUGUUCGUCCAUCGGGAGCUACGACCCAGGGUCCUGGAUUGGGGGCACUCAAGCCUGUUCUCAUGCCAUCCUGGCUUUCAACGAACCCUAUCACUGCUGCGAAGACGUUUUUGGUGGCCAUCCAUGGCCAAGGACACUCGGGAGUUUAUCACUGCUUGUUCAACUUGUGCCCGCAGUAAGACGUCACACAGGCCUCCUGCUGGUCUUCUUCGCCCUCUCUCCAUUCCUGCCCGUCCUUGGUCGCACAUUGCCCUAGAUUUUGUCACGGGAUUUCCAGCUUCCAGAGGUAACACCACGAUCCUUACAAUUGUUGAUCGUUUCUCCAAAGCAGCCCAUUUCAUUCCGCUGCGCAAGUUACCUACUGCUUCAGAGACUUCUGACCUCCUCACACUUCACGUCGUCAAGCAGCAUGGUAUUCCGGUGGAUAUUGUUUCUGACCGAGGCCCUCAGUUUACGUCGCAAGUAUGGAGAGCUUUCUGCAAGGGAAUCGGGGCCUCGGUCAGCCUCACAUCGGGAUAUCAUCCCCAAAGCAACGGGCAGGCCGAGAGAGCGAAUCAAAGCUUGGAGACCAUGCUCCGAUGUGUCGCCAGUCGUCAACCCACAUCCUGGAGCAAGUUUCUGCCAUGGGUGGAGUUUUCCUAUAACUCCUUGAAGAGCUCCGCUACCGGUAUGUCUCCAUUUGAGUGCUCAUUAGGUUAUCAACCCCCUUUGUUUCCCCAACAAGAACUGGAGAUCGCUGUACCGUCUACUAGAGCUGACGGUGUCAGAGGGUGUGGAGAGCCGCUCGUGCAGCUUUGGAAAGAGCAUCCGAGAAAAUGUGUCGCAACGCCAACCGUCAUCGCAUUCCAGCUCCGUCCUAUAAACCAGGACAACAAGUUAUGCUUCUCACUAAGGACCUCAGCCUCCAGGUACCUUCUAAGAAAUUGGCUCCACGUUAUGUUGGUCCGUUCUCCAUCAUGUCUAUCAUAAAUCCUGUAUCAGUUAAAUUGGCUCUCCCACCCUCGGUCAAGCGGCAUCCAGUGGUCCAUGUUUCCCAGAUUAAACCGGUAGCGGAGAGCGCUCUGUCCCCUCCUGUCCCUGCCCCCCCACCCUCUAGGUUCUUACCCAAUGGAGAUCAGGUUUGGUCGGUUAAGGAGAUCCUCAGGGUCCGUCGACAAGGUAGGGGGCUCGUUUAUUUGGUCGACUGGGAGGGAUAUGGACCUGAAGACAGAUCUUGGGUGCCAGCCUCCUACCUUGCCGAUCCCUCACUUCUAGAGGAUUUCUACCGUGCCAAUCCUGAUGCUCCCCGGCGCUCGUCGGAGGCCUCGCAUAAGGGGGGGGGGGUACUGUCAUGACGCGGAGUCGAACCCACGUUUCCUCUGCAGCUGGAGCUGCGGGCACUUCUGUUAACCCCUCUGCUGGCAGCACACUCAGACACACCUCUGCUCGCGCUGAGCACAACACGCCCACACAGCAACAAGCCUGCAAGCAAUCAGUCAUCAGAGCACCUGGACCUGACGAGGGGGAGCGGCAUAAAGACCAGCGGACCCAAGGAACCUUUGCCAGAACGUCGCUAACCUUCCAUGACUCUCCUGACCUCCGUGAUCGUGCCUUGUCACUCGACACCCAUCCGGAUUUCUAACUGCCCUCCUCGAUCCACGACCUCCCUGCUCGGACCUAGACCACGCUGCCCUGCUCUUGCCCACGACCACUUGCCUGUCCACGAACUGCCUCUUCGCCUUUCCCCUUGGAUAACGACGAAAGAUACAACCAACAUUUACAGACAACAACCCUUGGUAACAUUUACAUUAUUAAUUUUACACAUAGUCAACACUCACUCACUUUGAGUAGCAUACACACGCCACGUAUUCAUCAAAGGUUUCAAAUAAACCUUGUAAACCUCAGUCCUGCCCUGGUUGUCGCCUCCUUCCCUUCUCUGAUACACAACAGAAAGCAAGCGAAAAGAGCGAUGCAGCAGUUAAAGCUAUAGCUACAUGAUAGGAAAGCCAACACCUCCUUCUCCCACCAAAGACAGGAGAAAUAGCAUGGGCUCACCCCUCAGAGGUCCA
This is an RNA transcript of Entelurus aequoreus (snake pipefish), 5324 nucleotides long. It is a transcript of the gene named vasohibin 1, with no coding region annotated. NCBI's taxonomy places the organism in Eukaryota, Metazoa, Chordata, Actinopteri, Syngnathiformes, Syngnathidae. The transcript is spliced from 3 exons. The record is from RefSeq and is a predicted model, not a curated record.